Molecule: small RNA, 28 nt
Filed under: Bombyx mori (domestic silkworm)
Lineage: Eukaryota; Metazoa; Arthropoda; Insecta; Lepidoptera; Bombycidae
Description: ovarian small RNA-18593
Source: RNAcentral
UAACAGAAGGUUUUGCAACAGUGGAUGA